RNA transcript from Oryza sativa Japonica Group (Japanese rice), 2388 nucleotides. It is a transcript of the gene named pentatricopeptide repeat-containing protein At3g06430, chloroplastic, with no coding region annotated. The record is from RefSeq and is a predicted model, not a curated record. NCBI's taxonomy places the organism in Eukaryota, Viridiplantae, Streptophyta, Magnoliopsida, Poales, Poaceae.
UUUUCUUGAGAGAGAGAGACGAGACGGCUGGGAAGGGAUGGGCCGCACCUUGGGCCCAAGCCCAACGUGCUUCAUCUCUUCUUCUAUCUUAUCUUCUCUUCUCUUCGCCUCCGCUGCGCCGCGCAUCCGCAACCGCAUCGCCCAUUCCAUUUCCAUGGCGCUCGCCGCCGCCGCCACCACCUUCCGCCCUCGCCUCGUCGUCACCGCCAAAGCCGACAACACCGACACUCGCCGUCGCCACUGGAAGGCCGGUGAGUUCCCCUUCCCCACCUCUUCCGACACUCCCCGCCGGAGCGCCCGCACCGCCGAGCGUCCGCCCGAUAAGCCGAGGGAUGAAGAUGGGGAUAGCAGCAGGAGGACUGGGCGCAGGCACUGGAAGGCAGGCGAAUUCCCGGGCACGCAGGAGGACUCCAGGCGACCUCGGAGGAGCCCCAUCAAGAACGUCAAGAAGCGGCUUGACGCGCGCGCCGAGGCCAAGGCGUGGGCCUGCACCGUCACCGAGGCCCUCGCUGAUCGCAUCGACGCCAAAAACUGGCAAGAGGCGCUCCAGGUCUUCCAGAUGCUCAAGGAGCAACCUUUCUAUCAUCCCAAAGAGGGCACUUUCAUGAAGCUCCUCCUGCUGCUGGGCAGGUCAGGCCAGCCUUCCCGUGCUCGCUACCUCUUCGAUGAGAUGCUGCAGCAAGGAUGCCAGCCCACCCCGGAGCUCUACACGGCCUUGAUUGCUGCCUACUGCAGGAAUGGCCUCCUCGACGACGCCUUCCGCCUUCUUGCCGAUAUGAAGGCCUCUCCGGUUUGCCAGCCUGACGUCUAUACCUACAGCACCAUCAUCAAGGCUUGUGUUGAUGCCUCAAGAUUUGACAUAGUCGAUGCUAUGUACAAAGAUAUGGCUGACCGCUCCAUAGCGCCCAACACGGUCACGCAGAACAUUGUCCUCAGUGGCUAUGGCAGGGCUGGAAGGUUGGAUGACAUGGAGAAAGUACUCUCUGCAAUGCUCGACAGCACAACUAGCAAACCAGAUGUAUGGACUAUGAACAUUAUAUUAAGCCUAUUUGGUAACAGGGGUCAGAUUGAAUCUAUGGAGAAGUGGUAUGAGAAAUUCCGAGGCUAUGGGAUCGAACCGGAGACUCGGACACUCAACAUUCUCAUUGGCGCAUAUGGGAAGAAGCGGAUGUAUGACAAGAUGUCUGCAGUGAUGGAGUACAUGCGCAAGUUAGCGUUUCCAUGGACCACUGCGACAUUCAACAAUGUGAUUGAGGCAUUCGCUGACGCAGGCGAUGCAAAAAACAUGGAGCACACAUUUAACCAGAUGCGUGCAGAGGGGAUGAAGCCAGAUACAAAGACAUUUUGUUGUCUCAUAAAUGGGUUUGGCAAUGCGGGUCUUUUCCAUAAGGUGGUUGGCAUGGUUAAGCUGGCUGAGAGGCUUGGUGUGCCAAUGGAUACAACUUUCCACAAUGCUGUUCUCAUGACAUGUGUAAAAGCUGAGGAUUUGAUGGAGAUGGAGAGGGUCUUCAUGCGCAUGAAGCAAAUACAGUGUAUCCCAGAUGCUACAACAUACUCCAUUUUGGUGGGAGCUUAUCGGAAGGAAGGAAUGACUGACAAGAUCUAUGUUCUGCAACAGGAGAACCCGACUUUGGUUCCAACUGACCUUGUCCAUGUGUAACUCUCACCACUGAUCUGUACCUCAAAGACUAUACAUUGGAUGAGCUGCAGUUCAAUGGGAUCGACACUGCUGCUUUUCUGACUCCUGUGGAUCUGAAUUUCAGUGUCAGACGCCCACCCAAACAGCAUCUGAAUUUGGGUGUCAGACGCCCAAACGGCCAGACCCUAACAACAGCUGCUAGAAAGAUCAUCAGCAGAUGUAUCAACACGGGGAAUCUCGCCUAAUUUCUACCCUGGCACCUCAAGCUGCAUAUCAAUGGCCUUUGAUGAUAACUUUCAAGGACAGGAAUGUAGUUGAGUUUUUUGUGUUCAGAAUGAAAGCAGCUCAGCAAGCGAUUGUUAGAGAAGAAGAGGAUGGAGUCUCGCACUGAGUAGAGGUGGUUCUAAAAUGUGGCUAGCAGAAUAGGAAAAGAAGAUUUUAGAAAGCUGCUUGACUUGAAUAGCCUUGACUUGUGAAAAAUUUUCAUGCUUGAUACAUAGGAGGCGGCAAAAGCGAGUGCAAAAGGAACCUAGACAAUACGGGUGGAAAUGGAAUGGUGGGCUCCAGCUCUUCAAUUUGUUCAUCCAAUUAAUAUACAUAGGCCUGUUCUGUAGCUUUGGUGAAAUUCGAAAUUACUCAAAUCCACAUAUAGUCCGUAUUGAAACGAGUCCAUAAUCGACGAUUAUACUGUAUUUGUGGUUAGGUUGGUGACAUUCCUAUGAAAUUAAAUAGAAAGUUAUAAAGCCUAA